CAGUUCCAUUUUCUUCAGUCAAGGUUGUCCACCACCAUGCCGAUUGGACCGGAAGCCACCUUGCACACAAAGUCAAAAGAAAAUUGGAAACAGGAUUGUCCACCACGUCAAUUGGACUGGAAGCCGCCCUGCACACAAAGUCAAAAGAAAAUUGCAAACAGGUGAGCACUCCUCAAUCUCAUUUUCUGAGCUCGUUUGCAUCUUACCUCGGAAUUUAAUGCCUUUUCCCCACCUGCAAA
Long non-coding RNA from Hippocampus comes (tiger tail seahorse), 239 nucleotides. RefSeq lists it as uncharacterized. The transcript has 2 exons. Lineage: Eukaryota; Metazoa; Chordata; Actinopteri; Syngnathiformes; Syngnathidae. The record is from RefSeq and is a predicted model, not a curated record.